This 468-nucleotide ribosomal RNA is filed under the name uncultured Lactococcus sp. Its description in RNAcentral is "bacterial SSU rRNA". It matches the Rfam family "Bacterial small subunit ribosomal RNA", at positions 931 to 1397 of the family's 1533-position model. Lineage: Bacteria; Bacillati; Bacillota; Bacilli; Lactobacillales; Streptococcaceae. The record is from RNAcentral.
GGGGGAGCAUGUGGUAAAAUUAGAAGCAACGAGAAGCACCUUACCAGGUCUUGACAUACUCGUAGCUAUUCCUAAAGAUAGGAAGUUCCUUCGGGACCCGGGAUACAGGUGGUGCAUGGUUGUCGUCAGCUCGUGUCGUGAGAUGUUGGGUUAAGUCCCGCAACGAGCGCAACCCCUAUUGUUAGUUGCCAUCAUUAAGUUGGGCACUCUAACGAGACUGCCGGUGAUAAACCGGAGGAAGGUGGGGAUGACGUCAAAUCAUCAUGACCCUUUUGACCUGGGCUACACACGCGCUACACUGUGGCUGGGACAACGAGUCGCGAGACACUGAUGUUUAUCUAUUCUCUUAAAACCAUUCUCAGUUCGGAUUGUAUGCUGCGACUCGCCUACAUGAAAACUGAAUCGCUAUUAAUCGCGGAUCUCAACGCCGCGGGGAAUACGUUCCCGGGGCUUGUACACACUGUCCGU